This is a long non-coding RNA of Nomascus leucogenys (northern white-cheeked gibbon), 1161 nucleotides long. RefSeq lists it as uncharacterized. The record is from RefSeq and is a predicted model, not a curated record. NCBI's taxonomy places the organism in Eukaryota, Metazoa, Chordata, Mammalia, Primates, Hylobatidae. The transcript has 4 exons.
AGACUCCAAGGGUUUUAUAGCGGCCGGUAGCGACACGGAGCCGGCUCCCCCUUUUCCAGCCUUCCUCCCCAUCUCCCAUUCCCCAUCUCCCACGACCUAUACCAGAGGUCCUUAGGCCUCCACGUCUCCCCUUCUGCAGAGUAGCCCAAGGUUUCCACCCAUCUGCCAGGGGGAUGGCAUCCACUCCGAUGGGGAAUGAGGGGGAGAAGAAGAGCAGCUGGCCGUCUCAAACCGCACCCUCCUUGAGAGAAGGUCCGGCUUCGUUAUCUCGUUCUGAGGAAUACCUGUCCCGGAUCAGUACAGAACUCAUGGAGGAGGCUUUGUGCACUGCUUGCUGCCACUUGAACCCUAUGCCCAUCAAAAAAAAGCAGUCACAAGACCAAGCGACUCAGAUAUCCAAAUGCAGUAACCCCCUGCCUCAGGACCACCAUAUCUAGAGAACUGCUGCCUCCACCAUGCCUGGUUCCAGUCCCCGACCCCUCCCACCUCUAGCUGAACUCUCCAGGAGUCUGUGCCCAUCUCACCCAUCUCACAGCCAGCCCUAGGACUUGUGAAGUGCCCCUCUCACCCGCUAACCCAGUACCCACUCCUCACUGCUGGCCAAGAAUCCCCUUAGCCCUGUCUGCCCUGGCCGCAUCUCUUCCUGGCCAUGGGGAUAGUCCUUUCUCUGACUAGCGCCUCUACUUCCAGCAUUCUUUACCAAGACCUGAGGCACAGACACCUGGUGAGUGAGGCUUCAAGGGAGAUGCUCUUUGUCCUGGGAGAGAGAUGAGGAACCUGGAGGGGAGAGAGCGAGGGUUUCACAAUAUCCCAGUAGGGUAGGGGGAUUUUUGAACCGUGCACUUCCAUUCUAUUCUUCCCUGAUCCUCAAAUUCUGAAUUCUCAGCUCUCUCCCCUCUCUUCCACCAUCUCCCACUCCAACAGAAACCGUACCUGCAGCAAGGCACACCUCCUGCCAACUCCUGGUGAAAAGAACAUGCCUAAAAACUACUCUUUUGCCACUCUUUAACCACUUCUGUUUGUGGGGACCUCCUGGUCAUGAGCAGCAUCAUCCCGAAGCCUUCAAAGUGUUCUGGAUUCAUCACAGGACCCUCCAGCCUCAGCGAGCAAGGACACCACCAGGAAUGAAAGCGCUUUAAUAAAGAGACGGGGUGUGCCCUG